CUGGUAGGUCUGAUGCAACCCCACUGGCUUUGACAUUGAGGGAGAUGACCCUGGAGAGGAAGGAGAGAAGCUCAAGAAGGCUCAAGCCUGGACAGAGGAGGUGGCGAAUGUGGCCUGUUUUACACUUUGAAGCCUCAAGGCACAGGAUCCACCAAGGAGAAUAGUUGAUUCUUCUCCCCCAUCCUAUAAGAUCAAGAAUGUAACCACACCUGAACUGACUCUUUCACUGUCAAAGAGAACUAAUUACAAGAAUAUGGUUUCUUAGAGGCAGAAAGAAGACAAAGACAUGAUGACAUCUACCACAAAAGAAGAAAGGAAGCUGAAUGGAUGUGCAUUGGGAUGAAGCAUAAUGAAAAAUUAGGAGCUUAUCUAAAGC
Molecule: non-coding RNA, 376 nt
Organism: Microcebus murinus (gray mouse lemur)
Lineage: Eukaryota; Metazoa; Chordata; Mammalia; Primates; Cheirogaleidae
Source: RefSeq, a predicted model, not a curated record